UACGUAGGGGGCAAGCGUUGUCCGGAUUUAUUGGGCGUAAAGAGCGUGUAGGCGGCCAGGCAGGUCCGCUGUGAAAACUCGAGGCUCAACCUCGAGAGGUCGGUGGAAACCGUCUGGCUAGAGUCCGGAAGAGGAGAGUGGAAUUCCCGGUGUAGCGGUGAAAUGCGCAGAUAUCGGGAAGAACACCCAUGGCGAAGGCGGCUCUCUGGGACGGUACUGACGCUGAGACGCGAAAGCGUGGGGAGCGAACAGG
This 253-nucleotide ribosomal RNA is filed under the name uncultured bacterium. RNAcentral describes it as "partial 16S ribosomal RNA". It matches the Rfam family "Bacterial small subunit ribosomal RNA", at positions 524 to 776 of the family's 1533-position model. The record is from RNAcentral.